CGGAGCAUAGCACAGCCUAGUAGUGCACCUAGUUUGGGACCAGGGGGUCGUAGUUUCGAAUCCUACUGCUCCGACCA
This 77-nucleotide transfer RNA is filed under the name Gammaproteobacteria bacterium. RNAcentral describes it as "tRNA-Pro". It matches the Rfam family "tRNA". From Rfam's summary of the family: Transfer RNA (tRNA) molecules are approximately 80 nucleotides in length. Their secondary structure includes four short double-helical elements and three loops (D, anti-codon, and T loops). Further hydrogen bonds mediate the characteristic L-shaped molecular structure. tRNAs have two regions of fundamental functional importance: the anti-codon, which is responsible for specific mRNA codon recognition, and the 3' end, to which the tRNAs corresponding amino acid is attached (by aminoacyl-tRNA synthetases). tRNAs cope with the degeneracy of the genetic code in two manners: having more than one tRNA (with a specific anti-codon) for a particular amino acid; and 'wobble' base-pairing, i.e. permitting non-standard base-pairing at the 3rd anti-codon position. Lineage: Bacteria; Pseudomonadati; Pseudomonadota; Gammaproteobacteria. The record is from RNAcentral.